UAGCCGUAAACGAUACUCGCUAGGUGUCGGCCACGGUGCGACCGUUGUCGGUGCCGUAGGGAAGCCGUGAAGCGAGCCACCUGGGAAGUACGGCCGCAAGGCUGAAACUUAAAGGAAUUGGCGGGGGAGGCACCACAACGGGUGGAGCUUGCGGUUUAAUUUGGAUUCAACGCCGGAAAUCUUACCGGGACCGACAGCAACAUGAAGGCCAGGCUGAAGACUUUGCCGGAUUAGCUGAGAGGAGGUGCAUGGCGUAGACGUCU
RNAcentral lists this ribosomal RNA (263 nucleotides) under uncultured archaeon. RNAcentral describes it as "partial 16S ribosomal RNA". It matches the Rfam family "Archaeal small subunit ribosomal RNA", at positions 748 to 1009 of the family's 1478-position model. The record is from RNAcentral.